Molecule: long non-coding RNA, 446 nt
Filed under: Androctonus crassicauda
Lineage: Eukaryota; Metazoa; Arthropoda; Arachnida; Scorpiones; Buthidae
Source: RNAcentral
GUGGAAGCCUGUGGGGAGAGCUGCAGGUGGGUGGCUGUUGGUGCAGGAGUUCUGGAGGAAGGAGCUGGCAGGGCACCCCCCACCUCCCUGCACCUGGGCUGCCACUUGGAGGUCUGGCUUCAAUCUCUGGGCUGAAGGAGAAAACAAUAGACAGAUGGUCUUCUAGGGAAUGGGUCACAAUUGGCUGGGGAAGCCCCGGAUCUCUUGUGAUUACAGAUGGCUCCUAUUUUUCAGCCACAAAUAAUGACUGUCCCUGUAGUUAUUAAUAUAAUCCUUCAUUCCUUUGUGAAAUUCCUGAACUUCCCUGGAUUCAGUUUGUUCUACACUAAUAACCACAGGGAAAUGGCAGGUCACUCCUCUGUGCAGUUAGACUGCAUCUCCGGUGGACUUUUCGUGUGACCACAAACUGAGGAAGCCAUCAUGACUAAGACCCACGUCUAGCUCAG